CACAGCCCUUCUUUUGUUGAUCCUUUUUUGACGCGCAGUAGCGUGUAGCUUGCACCAGCCGGACUGUGCACGAAGUUUGAAUAGUAGCAUACAGUGAUGAACAAAAUUGUUGGCACAUAACAUCCUAUUUUCUAUAAACUUAUGUGUGAAUUUGGGAAAACACGAUUCUUUGCUCAACGUUCUUGUGAAAUACGCUGCGUAACUAUAGAACUAAAAUCUUGAAUACAUAAAUUGUUAGGUACGAGAUGAAAGAUAGAACAGGGUAAGAUCUGAUCAAAAUCGUUGCAAAAUUAUAGUUAGACUUACGACAAUUUCAUUUUAUUGUAUCCUGAGCUCAAUUUUUGUAAAACCAAAUAUUCUAUUAUGUCGGUGCUGUUGUUCUAAAAUAGAAAUAAACUAGUUUCUAUCUUUUUUCUCUUUCUUGUUUUCUUUAGUCUAUCGUUUAAUCCAUUGUUUUUGCGGGAAAAAAGAAUAAAUUGUUUCUAAAUACAAAAUAUGUACUUCUUUCUUUAUCACAUCAACGUAUAAGGAUAUGUAGAGCAGUAUAAAAAAAUUGAAUGUUAUUAAAUGGUUUUAUAAUUACGAAAUGCACUGUAUGAGAAGUAGGAUUUGGAAACGGUUGAUCAAUUUAAGAAGUAUUUUCAUGUCAGAAAUAUUUCAAUAUAAAAUAGCUGUAGAAAUAAAUAACUCGAUAGAUUCGAAGAUAUAAGAUUUUUGAAAAAUAUUUGAUUGUUAUGUUUCUUUAACUUAUUUUAUAAUAUUAGUUUGCAUAACUAAUGUUAUUGAUAUAACUUAUAAAGGCAACUCGUUGUACAUUUUUUAUUAUUUUAUUAUUUUUUACUAUUCAUUUUUAUAGCACAGCUGCUUAAUGAAUUUUGACGAUGCAAUAAAAAAGAAUUGAAAAAGGAACCCUCGUAAGAAGCCGCUAUCACCGUUUGCCAAGUUUCGUGAACUCGACAGACAAAAUAGCGCCGCCUCGUCACCCAGAACGUGCAAUUGGAUAAUUUCUCGACGAGCUGGAACAAUGGAUUGGCGUUUUGUGCUUUGCU
Bombus pyrosoma is the source of this 1049-nucleotide long non-coding RNA. RefSeq lists it as uncharacterized. The record is from RefSeq and is a predicted model, not a curated record. Lineage: Eukaryota; Metazoa; Arthropoda; Insecta; Hymenoptera; Apidae. The transcript has 3 exons.